This 1169-nucleotide ribosomal RNA is filed under the name uncultured Bacteroides sp. Its description in RNAcentral is "bacterial SSU rRNA". It matches the Rfam family "Bacterial small subunit ribosomal RNA", at positions 10 to 1177 of the family's 1533-position model. Lineage: Bacteria; Pseudomonadati; Bacteroidota; Bacteroidia; Bacteroidales; Bacteroidaceae. The record is from RNAcentral.
AGUUUGAUCCUGGCUCAGGAUGAACGCUAGCUACAGGCUUAACACAUGCAAGUCGAGGGGCAGCAUUGGGGUAGCAAUACUUCAGAUGGCGACCGGCGCACGGGUGAGUAACACGUAUCCAACCUGCCGCUUACUCGGGGAUAGCCUUUCGAAAGAAAGAUUAAUACCCGAUGGUAUAAAGAGUUCGCAUGUUCUCUUUAUUAAAGAAUUUCGGUAAGCGAUGGGGAUGCGUUCCAUUAGAUUGUUGGCGGGGUAACGGCCCACCAAGUCUACGAUGGAUAGGGGUUCUGAGAGGAAGGUCCCCCACAUUGGAACUGAGACACGGUCCAAACUCCUACGGGAGGCAGCAGUGAGGAAUAUUGGUCAAUGGACGCGAGUCUGAACCAGCCAAGUAGCGUGAAGGAUGACUGCCCUAUGGGUUGUAAACUUCUUUUAUAAGGGAAUAAAGUGAGGGACGUGUCCCUUUUUGUAUGUACCUUAUGAAUAAGGAUCGGCUAACUCCGUGCCAGCAGCCGCGGUAAUACGGAGGAUCCAAGCGUUAUCCGGAUUUAUUGGGUUUAAAGGGAGCGUAGGUUGACAUAUAAGUCAGCUGUGAAAGUUUACGGCUCAACCGUGAAAUUGCAGUUGAUACUGUAUGUCUUGAGUGUACAAGAGGUGGGCGGAAUUCGUGGUGUAGCGGUGAAAUGCUUAGAUAUCACGAAGAACUCCAAUUGCGAAGGCAGCUCACUGGGGUACAACUGACACUGAGGCUCGAAAGUGUGGGUAUCAAACAGGAUUAGAUACCCUGGUAGUCCACACAGUAAACGAUGAAUACUCGCUGUUUGCGAUAUACAGUAAGCGGCCAAGCGAAAGCAUUAAGUAUUCCACCUGGGGAGUACGCCGGCAACGGUGAAACUCAAAGGAAUUGACGGGGGCCCGCACAAGCGGAGGAACAUGUGGUUUAAUUCGAUGAUACGCGAGGAACCUUACCCGGGCUUGAAUUGCAGAGGAACAUAGUUGAAAGAUUAUGGCCGCAAGGUCUCUGUGAAGGUGCUGCAUGGUUGUCGUCAGCUCGUGCCGUGAGGUGUCGGCUUAAGUGCCAUAACGAGCGCAACCCUUAUCAUUAGUUACUAACAGGUCAUGCUGAGGACUCUAGUGAGACUGCCGUCGUAAGAUGUGAGGAAGGUGGA